AUUUUUUUUAUAUACACAUACAUACAUACAAACAUACAUAUACUUUUAAAUAUAAUGAGUUGAAAACAUACAUAUAUAUAUUACUACAUACAUCACACAGACAUAUAUGUUGUUGUUAUGUGCCAUCAAGUCAAUUUGACUCAUAGUGUCUAUAUAGGAUAGAGCGGAGCUGCUUCACAGGGUUUCCUAGACUGUAAAUCUUUAUGGGAGCAGAUUUCCAGGUCUAUUCUCCCUUAAAGCUGUUGGUGGGUUUGAACCACUGACCUUUUGGUUACCAGCUGAGUGCUUAAUCAUUGCAGCACUAGGGCUCCAUACACACACACACACACACAUACACACACACUUUUUUUUUCAGCAUUUUAGUUGACUUUUUUUCUGGAGAAUAGUCUGGGUAUAUGGUGCUGUUAUUAACGAAAGCUUAGACCUCUUAUAGCUAUAUUUCACUUCCUCUGUAAAGUCAUCAUUCCUCACUAAUUUCUGUGUCCUUAGUGAGUGGCUCCAUUACAAGCUAACAUCAUCAUAACCUUCUGGCAAUGAGUCAGCUAGUGGAGAAGUAAAAGGAGAAUUAUGCUUGUAUUGGCUUAUCACCUACAUUUUAAAGUAGAUAUUUUCAUCUCCUGACUUUAACAAAAACAAACAAACAAAACUUUUCUGUAUUUAACAAACAUAGUGUUAGCUGUGUUAGUAUUCAUUUCUAUCUUUUCAGAUAUUUUUUAAGUAUUAUCAAUGUUUUAGCAGGGGAGGUGCUUGGACUUCCCUCAAUGUCAGAUCUGAUUUGCUGUUUCCCAUUAUUGUUCUCACUUUUCACUGUUUCUAUACCAAGGAUCUGCUUUAAGGCCGUUGACACAACACAAAACUCUAGCACAGAGAUGUUUUCCAGGCUAUAAGGCUCCACCAAACUCCAGGUUUUGCCUCCUACAGAAGACUGUAUGUGUCUUAUUUAGGCAAAUACCACCUGCCUUGCUGGCUCUGAACGUUGUCAGUUUUGGGAUUGACCUUCUCUGAGGUAAAAAUCUGCAGCCCAUUUUUCUGAAAGGUGUUGGCCACACUUAAGAGAGUUAAGAUUUGAUAAUGACCAAAAUUAAGUCAUUGUCGGUCAGUGUCCCCAGGCCUCACAUGGAAGGCAUGAAGAGAACACUUGAUACUGUCCAGUCUUAGGACUCCAGCCCUGGCCCAAAGGUGCAGGUGCUUGAGAAAUCCUGUAUAUUGUGGGAGGGUGAGAGGGGAGACCAUCUGCUACACUCUCAAUCUUGUGAGACUGCUACCCACUCAAUCUUGUGAGACUGGAGUGGUAGGAUGGAGCUUUACUACUUGCUUUUUCCUGCAAAUCUCACUUUUGCAUCUGUUUCUAUGUCUAAGUUACAAGUUGUGCCUUGAUAUCUUAUCUAUUGAACAAUUUAUUCCAAAUUUGGGGGACCAAGUUUUUUUUUUUUUUCACUUUUUUUCUUAAUUGUAAUUUAGAUGAAGUUUUACAGAGCAAACCAGCUUCUCAUUAAACAAUUAAUAUACAUAUUAUUUUGUGACAUCGGUUGUUAACCUCACGAGAUGUCAACACUCUCCCCUUCUUGACCUUAGCUUCCCUAUUACCAGUUUUCCUGUCCCCGCUUGCCUUCUCGUCCUUGCCCCUGGGCUGGUGUGCCCCUUUAGUCUUGUUUUGUUUUAUGGGCCUGUCUAAUCUUUGGCUGAAGGGCGAACCUCACAAGUGACUUCAUUACUGAACUAAAAGGGUGUCUGGGGCCAUAUUCUCAGGGUUUCUCCCUGUCAGACCAGUAAGUCUGGCCUUUUUUUUUGAGUUAGAAUGUUGUUCUGCACUUUUCUCCAGCUCUGUCCAGGACUCCCUAUUUUGAUCUCUGUCAGAGAAGUCCAUGGUGGUAGCCAGGCACCAUCUAGUUUGCUGGACUCAGUCUGGUAGCGGCUGUGGUAGAUGUGGUCCAUUAGUCCUUUGGACUAAUCUUUCCCUUGUAUCUUUGGUUUUCUUCAUUCUUUCUUGCUCCCAACAGAGUGAGACCAGUGGAGUAUCUUAGAGGACCACUCACAAGCUUUUAGACCCUAGAUGCUACUCACCAAAGUAGAAUGUAGAACAUUUUCCUUAUAAACUAUGUUAUGCCAAUUGAGCUAGAUGUUCCUCGAGAUCAUAAUCCUUGGGGGACCGAGUUUUAAGGAAGAGGAGAAAGCACUGGAUUUGAUCACUAUGUAAACCAAAAAUCAAUCCUGAUUCCAACUCCUAGGACCCUAUAGGACAGGGUAGAACUGCCCCACAGAGUUUCCAAGGUUGUAAUCUUUACAUAAGCAGAUGCCACAUCUUUCUUCCUGUAGAGUGGCUGGUGGGUUUGAAUUGCCGACAUUUCAGUUAGCAGUUGAGUGCUUAGCCACUGCGCUACCAGGUCUUCUUGGUCACUAUGUAGAAGGGUCAGAUUCUAGGUGAAAAGAUUUCCAUUCACAUAGAGUCACAGAUCAGAUUCCUUCCAGUCCCUGAGAUUCUGCUGAUCUCUAGCCUCAGCCUGUAUUUUGUGCGUCAUGUGCGUGGCCACCAGUUAACUUUCCAAUUAAAAAUAAAAGGAAGAAGGGAAAGAGGGAGGAGGGAAGGAAUGAAGAAAGGAAAUGAUUUCCUAAAGUUUUCUGCUAUUCCUGUUUAACUGACAAGUAUUUAUUGGUUGCUUACAAAGAAGCCACAUAAAGGCCAUGCUUCUGUAGAAUUCAGUUGUCCUUAGCCCGAAAUAUUUUUUCCAUUGCAUCCAUUCCACCAGUCCAUCCAAAUAAAACAGAAAUCUUGGUUAUCAUUCAUGUCUAGAUGGUGCAAACACUAUUUUGCUGUUGUUUGUUCAGUUAUCUUAAAGCAAUUGGUGGGCCCUAAAUUAAGUUUGAAUUUAAGAUCCUGAUCCAGAGCUGUCUCCUCUACUCAUGUUAUUUGUGUUAUAAUUUAUCCUAAAUACUCUACUAAAGGUAAGUACAAAUUAUCUUUAACAACUUAACGAAAAAAACAACAAAAAUGCUGUCAAAUGGCUUUUGACUCACGGCAAAGCCACCUGUGUCAGAGUAGAACUGUGCUUGAUAGUGCUUUCAAUGACUUAUUGUUCGGAAAUAGAUCACCAGGGCUUUCUUCCAAGGUGCCUCUCAGUGGACUUGAACCUCCAACCUUGGUUAGCAGCUGGACUCAUUAAAAGCUUGCACUUCCUGGGGACCAUUAACACCUUGUUUUUGUUGUGUGCCAUUGAGUUAAUCUUGACCAGGGGAGUGAAUUAGUCAAUGAGUGCCUUAUUCUAAAUCACUGCCUUAGAGUUACUUAGUCAUGUAUCAUUACUUGCUGUUGUUGUUAGGUGCCGUCGAGUCGGUUCCAGCUCAUAGCAGCCCUAUGCACAACAGAACGAGACACUGCCCGGUCCUGAGCCAUCCUUACAAUCUUUGUUAUGCCUGAGCUCAUUGUUGCAGCCACUGUGUCAAUCCACCUCAUUGAGGGUCUUCCUCUUUUCCGCUGACCCUGUACUUUGCCAAGCAUGAUGUCCUUCUCCAGAGACUGAUCCCCCCUGACAACAUGUCCAAAGUAUGUAAGACGCAGUCUCGCCAUCCUUGCUUCUAAGGAGCAUUCUGGUUGUGCUUCUUCCAAGACAGAUUUGUUCCUUCUUUUGGCAGUCCAUGGUAUAUUCAAUGUUCUUCGCCAACACCACAAUUCAAAGGCAUCAGUUCUUCUUCGGUCUUCCUUAUUCAUUGUCCAGCUUUCACAUGCAUGUGAUGUGAUUGAAAAUACCAUGGCUUGGGUCAGGUGCACCUUAGUCUCCAAGGAGACAUCUUUGCUCUUCAAUGCAUUGCAUUGGGUAAAUUUACGGCAAAGGACCUCUUUAAAGUGUUGAAGAGCAAAGCAUCAUUAUUAGUGAAACUGAAAUUAGUGAUAGUUAGGUUAGGAGGUUAAUUGGACAUGGUAAUACAGGAUCCACCUGUCUGACCUGAAUGAAGAUACCAGCUGGCCCAGUAAUGUGUGCCAGUGGAGCAGAACUCUAGGUUUGCACUCUGGGUCUACAGACUUCCUUCUCCCAGAGAUCAGGAUCAGACCAUAGGAUCUGACUUCAAGUCCCCUUUGGGGUAGGCACUCCAAUACAGGGGCUACAGGAGUCCCCUAUGAGAGACUCCUUCAAAGCUCUAGAGCGCUUGCAACUGCUGGUUAAUAAAACUCUUUACAUUUGCCAGAAAGUGAAAUUUCUUUCACUGCAACAACUCUCUAAGCAGAAGUGAGGUCCAGGGUGGAAACUAUUUCCUCCACACACCUCUGGCCCUUAGAGGUUACCAGUAUUCACCAAAGAGAACUUGACAUUUGUUGACCAGCCAGACUGACUGAUUUGCAACACUUCAGUUUUAUAUUUAUGCAUCUUCUUGUCUGCUUCCCUGGUAUCAGAAACUCUCUGGGAGCCAGGCUCCAGAGUACCCUAAUCUGCUGUGGUAUUAUGGUUCUGAAUUGACACAUCAUAAACCUUCCAAAAAAAAAAAAAAAUCCAGAAGGUUCUUUUGAAUUCUAUAAGUGACUAAUAACACUUUUUGUAAAAAAUGAAAAACAAAACCAAAGGAACAAAGUGCAUUACUCUUUCUCCUUUCCAAGGUCAUUUCCCCUUUGGGUGUGUCUUUCCUGUAUAUCCAGUCCUUUCCUACCAGCACUAUCUUCAGACCAAGAGAUAAUUAUUUCAUGCACAUAUUCACACGCAAAAUGAUGACACAUUUGUUUGGUGUUUUAGAAAACAAAAUAAAACAAAAAAAUCCCCCCAAACCCAUUGGGAAUUAUCUAGCCAUGAAUUAUGUUAUGGCCAAUGCAUCCAUUAUGUGUGUUUUUCAUCCGCAAGUCACCGUAUUAUUACUCUUUCUGAAUAGGCUCCCUAAUUAACUGUUGCAUAUUCUUUCCCUGAAAUCUUGCUGUGCUUUGUAGCAAAUAUGUAAAAAAUCUUUUGUUCUGAAAAAAGCCACCCAUUGAGUAGGAGUGUGAAUUGAAAUGUUAAGGUCACCAUGGAAUUCCACAGUUGUUCAGCUCAGUAAGAUCUGUGUGACAUCGCACUUUUGUUAAAUAUCUUAGGAAAACAAGGAGAGGCCAAGCUUGCUGAGUGACUGCCUCUAGGCCUUGAACGAACCUUUGUUUGCUGUGUGUCUAAAUUCUUUCUCUCUUUUCCAACAACAACCAAAGCAUAGAAACAUCUUCCAGUACCUUAAACUUAUUUUAUAUAAAAAAUGAGACUGGUUAAUCCAGUUCUGAGCGUAAACCAUUGACCUUUUCACUUUUGAAUAGCCUCUUCUUAGAGAUCUCCCUCUCCUUCAAUGUGUUUCUUCUAAAACACCGUUGAGGCAGAUGUCAGCUUUAUUUUUAAAUAGGAGGCUGUGGGUUUCUGGCAUUUUUUGUUUGUUUUGCUAUCAUAACUAUCAAUUUUAGUACCUAACUUUUCUUUAUCACCGAAAAAAAUAUGGGGCAAAAUUUACUCGGGAAUUUAAAAAUAUCAGGUAAAUAGACAUUGUAAAAAUUUAGGGUAGCUUGCUUAAUUUCAAAGUUGAUUUUCCUGGUAACAUUACGAUAUCUUUUUUGCACUUCUCAGGAAUGCCUAUUACUACUAGGUAGUAACUUUUGUUUUGUUUUAUUAAAAUACAUUAUUGGAUUAAUUUAUUAAAACAGUGUAACUGUGUUCUUGCACAAUCCCAACUUUGAUCUAAUAAUUUUUGUGCUCGUCUUGUUUCUAAAUGGUGCAGUGAUUAAGUGCUUGGCUGCUAACUGAAACGUAGGCAGUUCAAAUCCACCAGCUGCUCCACAGUCUGCUUCCAGAAAGACCACAGCCUUGGAAAUACCCUGUGGGCAGUUCUACUCUGUCCUGCAGGGUUGCUUUGAAGUGGGACCGAUUUAACAGCAAUAGGUUUGGUUUGUUUCUAAAUAUUAUAGAGAACGUAUCAUAGAUUCAAAGAAUUAGAUAUACCUAAAGUUCUAAAAAUUUUUUGGGGGUAGUAUUUUCUUAUUUUUCAAUGUUCAAAUUCUAUGUUUUUUUUUUGCUGAACAUUUUAUUGUGGUUUGGGUGAAAGUUUACAGAGUAAAUUAGUUUCUCAAUCAAUAAUAUACAUUUUGUUUCAUGACAUUAGUUUCAAUUCCUUCAAUGUUACAGCACUUUACCCACUUCCUUCCUGGGUUCCCCAUUUCCAUUCGCCCAUCUUUCCUGCCUCUUCCUGCCUUCUGAACUUUGUUUUUGAGCAAAUACUUCCCUUUUGGUCUCGUAUGGUUGAUCAUUUUGAGAAGCACGUUCCUCAUAGGUGUUAUUGUUCACUUUACAGGCCUGUCUAUUGUUUGGCUGAAAGGUGAUCUCCAGGAGUGAGUUCAGUUUGAAGGGUGUCUAAGGGCCGCAGUCUCAGGUGUUCCACAAGUUUCUAUCAGACCAGUAAUUCUGGUCUUUUUUUAUCAAUUUGAAUUUUGUUUUACAUUUUUCUCACCCUGUCUCCAGGACCUUCUACUGUGAUCCUGGUUAGGGUGGUUGGUAGUGGUAGCUGGGCGCCGUCUAGCUCUUGUCUCAGGUGAGUGAAAGCUGUGGUUCACGUGGAUCAUUAGUCCUUUGGACUACUUGUUUUCUUGAGACACUGAUUCUCUACAUUCUUUUUCGUUCUGGACGGGAAGAGACCAAUAGUUGUAUCUUAGGUGGCCGCUCCCAAACUUUUAAGACCCUAGUCACUACUCACCGAAGUAGGAUGUAGAACAUUGUCUUUAUGGCUUAUGUUAUGCCAAUUGACUUAGAUGUUUCCAGAGACUAUGGUCCUAAGCUCUCAAGCCCAGUGACUCAGUCCCUAGAAGUAUCUGGUUAUGCCUAAGAAGUUUGCAUAACUGUGCCCGUUGUGUGCUAUGCUAUAUAAGUGGAUAUACUUACUGCAAAUAAAAAUACGUAUGUAGAGUUAUCUUCUGCCCAACCUAUACAUGCUCAUGGGUGUAUAGUCAUCCCACACCUAUUUAGCAUACAUAUCAACCAAUUUAAAUUAUUGUUUGUUAUUACUGUUAUUGCAGGAUUAUGUAUGUAAUAGUAUUUACCAUUGUUACCUUUUACUCUUGUGUACCUCUCACUGUCUUCCUUUGCCUUGGUCAUGCUAUGCUGACUUCCCCCAUAUUCCCUUCACUUUUUUUUUUUUUUUAUCUAGUUAGUGGUUUUCCUUCCCUCCCCCUCUCACCCGUGCUAACCAUCAAAGAAUGUUUCUUUCUGUGUGUAAACAUUUUCUUGACUUUUUAUGAUAGUGGUCUCAUACAAUGUUUGUCCUUCUGUCAUUGACUUAUUUCAUUAAGUAUAAUGUCCUCCAGGUUCACCCAUGCUGUGAGAUGUUUCCAGGAUUCAUUGUUAUUCUUUAAUGUUGUGUAGUAUUUCAUUGUGUGUUUGUACCACAGUUGUUUAUCCAUUCAUUCAUUGUUGAAUAUGUUGUUUCCAUCUUUUUGCUAUAGUGAAUAAUGAUGCAAUGAACAUCGGUGUAUAUAUUGAUGGUUAUUACUUCUCUAGGAUAUAUACCUAGUAGUGGGAUUGCUGGAUCAUAUGGUCUUUUUAUUUCUAACUUUUUGAGGAAGUGCCAUACUGUUUUCCAUGGUGUUUGUACCAUUUUACAUCCCCACCAGCAGUGUAUGACUGUUCCAAUCUCCCCACACCCUUGUCUCAUUGUUGUUUUGAUUUGCAUCUCUCUAACGACAAACACUGGUGGCGUAGUGGUUAAGCGCUACCGCUGCUAACCAGAAGGUCGGCAGUUCAAGUCCACCAGGUGCUCCCUGGAAACCCUAUGGGGCAGUUCCACUCUGUCCUACAGGGUCGCUAUGAGUCAGAAUCAACUCGACAACAAUGGGUUUGGUUUUUCGGUUAAUGGCUAAUGACUGAGAGCCUCUCUUCAUGUAUAUGUUGACUGCCUGAAUGUCUUCUUGAUGAAGUGUCUGUUCAUGUCCUUUGCCUAUCGACAAGUUGGACUAUUUUUGUUGAGGUGUUGAAGUUUGUUAUAAAUUUUAGAGAUUGGUCCCUUGUCAUAUGUCAUUGCCAAUUUUUUUUUCCCAGUCUGUAGCUUCUCUUUUUACUCUUUUGAAGAAGUCCUUUCAUGUGCAUAAGUGCGUAAUUUUUAGGGGGUCCCGUUUGUCUAGUUUAUCUUCUGCUGUUUGUGCAUUUUUAGUUAUAUUCGGUAGUCUAUUUAUGCCAUAAAUUACAGCCCCUAGGUUUGGCCCUAUUUUUUCUUCCAUCAUCUUUAUAGUUUUAGGUUUUAUCCAUCUCGAGUUAGUUUUUGCUUAUGGUGUGAGGUAUGGAUUCUGUUUUGUUUUUCUGAAAAUGGAUAUUCAGUUUGUCAGCACCAUUUGUUAAAAAGACUAUCUGUUCCCCAUUUGAUGGAUUUUGGCCCUUCGUCAGCUGUCCAUGGGUAGAUGGAUUUACUUCUGGGUUCUCAAUUAUGUUCCAUUGGUCUAUGUGUCUCUUGUUGUACCAGUACUAGGCUGUUUUGACUACCUGGCAGUGUUAGUCAUCUAGUACUGCCAUAACAGAAAUACCACAAGUGGAUGGCUUUAACAAAGAGAAAUUAAUUUUCUCACAAUUUAGUAGGUUAAAAGUCCUAAUUCAGGGCGUUGGCUCCAGGUGAAGGCUUUCUCUUUCUCUCCGCUCCAGAGUAAGGUCCUUGGCCUCAAUCUUCCCAUGGUCGAGGAGCUUCUCAGACGCAGGGACCCUGGGUCCAAAGGACGUGCUCUGCUUCUAGUGCUGGUUUCUUGGUGAUAUGAGGUCCCCAACUCUCUGCUUGCUUCCCUUUCCUUUUAUCUCUCAAGACGCUAUGUUAUGCCAAUUGACUUAGACAUCUCUAGAAACGUUUAUCAAGAGAUAAAAGGUGAUGGAGGCCACAACCCAGGGAAAAUCCCUUUACCUUGGAUCAGGGAGGUGACCUGUGUAAGGGUGGUGUCACAAUCCCACCUUAAUCCUCUUAACAUAAAAUUAUAAUCACAAAAUGGAGGACAACCACACAUGGCCUAACCAAGUUGAUACAUAUUUUGGGGGAGGGGGCACAAUUCAAUCCAUGACACUGGCUGUAUUGUUCUGAGGUCAGGAAGCGUGAGGCCUCCUGUUUUGUUCUUCAGUAACGUUUUGCUUACCCAGGCCUCUUUCUUUUCCAUAUAAAGUUGAUGAUCAGUUUUUCCGUCUUGUUAAAGAAAUGUUGAUGGAAUCUGGAUCAAGGUUGUCUUAUAUCUGUAGAUCACUUUGAGUAGUAUUGACUUUUUCACAAUAUUAAGUCUUCCAUUUAUGCAGGUCUGCUUCGGUUUCUUGCUGUAGCGUUUUGUAGUUUUCUUUGUCUAAGUCUUUUACAUUCCUGGUUAGGUUUAUUCCUAAGUAUUUUAUCUUUUGGGGAGCUAUUGUAAAUGAUAUUGUUUUCCUGAUUUCCUUUUCAGAGCUCUCUUUGUUAGUGCAGAGGAAUCCGACUGAUUUUUGUACAUUGAUCUUAUACCCUGCCACUUUCCUGAAUCCUUUUAUUAGUUCCAGUAGCUUUCUUGCAGAAUCCCUGGGAUUUUCUAUGUCUAUGAUCAUAUCAUCUGCAAAUAUGGAUAGUUUUACUUCUUCCUUGCCAAUUUGAGUCCUUUUAUUCCCCUUUCUUGCCUUAUUGCUCUGGCUAGGACUUUCAGUACAAUGUUGAAUAGGAGGGGUUAUAAGGAGCAUCCUUGUCUGAUUCCCAUUCUCAAGGGGAAUUCUCUGAGUCUCUGUUGAGAAUAAUGUUGGCUGUUGGUUUUGUGUAUAUGCUCUUAAUUAUGUUAAGAAAUUUCCCUUCUAUUCCUAUUUUGCUGAGAGUUUUUAUCAGUGGUGGUGUUGGAUUUUAUCAAAUGCUUUUUCUGCAUCUAUCUGUAUGAUCAAGUGGUUCUUUUCAUUUGUUUUAUUUAUGUGGUGGAUUACAUUGAUUGAUUUUCUGAUGUUGAACCAUCCUUGUACACCUAGUAUGAAUCCCACUUGGUCAUGAUGCAUUAUUUUUUUGGAUAUGUUGUUGGAUUCUAUUGUCUAGGAUUUUGUUGAGAAUUUUCUAUAAUGGUCUAUAAUUUUCCUUUUUAGCGGUGUCUUUGCCUGGCUUUGGUAUCAGGGUUAUGCUUGCUUCAUAGAAUGAAUUUGGGAGUAUUCCAUCCUUUUCUAUGUUCUGGAAUAGUUUGAGUAGAAUUAGUGUCAGCUCUUCUCUGAAUGUUUGGUAGAAUCCCCUAGUGAAGCUGUCUGGGUCAGGGCAUUUUUUUUUGUUGGAAUUUUUUUUUUUUAUGACCUCUUUAAUUUCUCGUUUUGUUAUGGGUCUGUUCAAAUUUAUUACCUCAGUUUGAGUUGGUUUAGGUAGGUAGUGUGUUUCUAGAAAAUUUUCCAUUUCCCCUAGGUUUUAAAACUUGUUGAUGUACAGUUCUUCAUAGUACUCUGUUGUGAUUCUUUUUAUUUCAGUUGGUUCUUUUGUAAUGUCAUCCAUUUCAUUUCUUAUUUGUGUUAUUUGCAUCUUCUACUUCUUUUCCUAUGUCAAUUUGGCCAGUGAUUUGUUGAUUUUAUUAAUCCUUUCAAAGAAUUAUCUUCUAAUCUUGUUGAUUCUUUUUUAUACUUUCUCUGUUUCAUUUAUUUCUGCUCUAAUCUUUAUUAUGUCCUUUCUUCUGGUGAUGGUGGGCUUUUUUUUUUUUUUUCCUACUUUUCUUCUAUUUGUUGGAGUUGUAGGGCUAAGGCAUCAAUUUUGGUGUAUACUUCUCUUUUGAUGUAUGUGUUUAUUGCUAUAAAUUGACCUCUGAGCACUGCUUUUGCAUUGUCCUAUAGGUUUUGGUAUGCUGUGUUUCCAUUCUGAUUUGAUUCUCGGGAUUUUUUUUAUUUCUUCUAUUACCUAGUGCUCUUUAAGCAGACUGUUAUUCAGUUUCCAUGUAUUAUUUUUCCUUGUUCUUUCUGUUACUGAUUUCUAAUUUUAUAGCAUUGUGAUAUGUUAAGAUGCUUUGUAUUAUUUAGAUGUUUUUAAAUUCACUGAGGAUUUCUUUGUGGCCUAACAUAUGGUCUAUUCUAGAGAAUGAUCCAUGUGUGCUGGAAAAGAGUAUGUGCUGCUGUUGCAUGGAGUGUUUUGUGUGUCUGUGAGAUCAAUUUGGUUGAUUUUGUUGUUUAGAUCUUCUGCAUCUUUGUUGAGUUUCUUUCUAGUUAUUCUGUCCUUUAUCGAAAGUAGUGUGUUAAAGUUUCCUACUAUUAUUAUGGAGUUGUCUAUUUCUCUUUUCAGUUCUGAUAAGGAUUGUUUUAUGUAUUUUGGAGCUCUUUCAUUGGGUGUGUAGAUAUUUAUUAUGGUUAUGUCCUUUUGUUAGGUUGACCCUUUUCAUCAAUAUAUUAUUCCCUUCUUUGUCUCUUAUGCUGGUUUUUGCCUUAAAGUCUAUUUUAUCAAAGAUUAAUAUUGCUACUCCUGGUCUUUUUUUCAUUGCUGUUUGCCUAAUGUAUUUUUUCCAUCCUUUUAUUUUUAGCUUAUUUUUAUAUUUGUGCCUAAGGUAUGCCUCCUAUAGGCAAUGUGUUGAUGGGUUAAAUUUUCUUACCUAUUCUGCCAAGGUCUGUCUCUUGACCAGUGCCUUUACUCCAUUUACAUUCAGUGUAAUUAUCAUUAGGUAUGAAUUUACUGCUGUCAUUUUGUUGUCCUUUUUUUUGUGCUGUUGCUGAUUUCUUUUGUUCUGUAUACUUUUCUGUGUGACUUCUUUUUGUUUAUGGAUUUUCUCUUCUUUUCCUUUGUUGCUGUUGAUUUUGUGUGUUACUGAGUCUAUGUUUUUCUUCUUUUUUAUUUUGGUGAGAAGGUUUAUUAGUUUUCUUUGUGGUUACCCUGAAAUUUGCUUUUAUCUUCCUAAGUUCAGAACAGUCUUAUCUCUUGAUAUCAUCUUGAUUUUCUGUGUAAGAAAAUUCUAUAGCUAUACCAUUUAAUCCUCCUUUUUAUUUUUGAAGUUGUUGUUUACAGAUUGAUGUUUCUGGUUCCCUCUUUCCAGUCUUGUAGCUUUAUUUUAUUUUUGAAAAUUCUUUAUCUGGGUUGGUAUCUGGGCAAUGUCAUGUGUCUUAAUCUCUGGUUGUGGUCUGAUGUUGUUGGUUCUCUCUCUGAAGGACUUCCGUUAGUAUUUCUUAUAAGGUUGGUCAGGUUUUCACAAUUCCCUUAAUUUCUGUUUAUCUAGAAAUGUCCUAAUUCCACCAUCAUAUUUGAGAGACAGUUUUGCCGGAUAAAUAAUUCUUGGUUGGCAAUUUUUUUUUUUCAGGGUUUUAUGUAUGUCAUUCCAUUGACUUCUUGCCUGAAUGGUUUCUGCCAAGAAAUCAGAGUUUAGUCUUAUUCGUUCCCCUUUUUAGGUAAUAUUUUGUUUUUCCUGAACUGCUCUUAAGAUUCUUUCUUUGCCUUUGGUUUUGGGAGUUUGAUUACAGUAUGUCUUGGUGGUUUUCUCCUGGAGUCUAUCCUAUAUGGGGCUCAAUGGGCUUCUUGGAUGGAUAUCUGCCCAUCUUUCAUUAUAUUAGGAAAGUUUUCUGCCAGCAAAUCUCAAAAAAAUUUCUCUGUGUUUUUUUUUGUCUCUUCCUGUUUCAUAAUUACCAUCAUGCAUAAAUUACUACUCUUGAUAGUGCUCCCCAUAACUCUUAGGCUUUCUUCAUUGUUGUUUCUCUUUAUUCCUCAAACAGAUUACUAUCGAGGAAUUUUUCCUCUAUUUUGCUGAUUCUGUCUUCCUUUGAUUCAAUUCUACUCCUUUAUCCUUCCAAUGCAUUAUUUAUUUCUGAAAUUUUAGUGUUAAUCUUCUGGAUUUCUAGUUGCUGUUUUUGUAUGCUUUCUAAUUAUCUAUUUAUUUUGUCAUUUUGUUCCUGUGUUGUUUUUCUGAAUUCUUCUAGAGUUUUGUCUGUGCUUUUCUUGGUUUUGUCUAUGUUCUCACUGAUCUCUUUGAGUAUUCUAUACAUAAAAGUCUUUUGAAUUCCUUAUCAGGUUGUUCAAUUACCAUUUCUUCCUCAGAAUGGUUUUCUGACUUUUUAUUUUGGUCACUUGCUUUAACCAUGUUGUCCUGUUUCUUUAUAUAAUUUGAUAUUGUCUGUUGUCUUCAAGGCAUUAAGGUGUUAUAUUUAUUUAUUGAUUGUAUAUUUGUUUGCUUCAUUCUGAUUUUUUGUUUUGUUUUGUUAUAUAUGGGCUGGUGGGUUGCUGGUCUCAGGUCUAGCAGGACUGAAGUGUUUGCUACCUGUCUGGGUGAGCAGGCCAGUAGCUGGUAACGUGAGUGUGGGUCUCUCUUUGUUGUUUCAAGCUGGAUGGCAGGGCUGUCCACUCUGUCUCUUCUUGUUCACUGUAUUCAGGCAGUUUCUUCUUCCAAUCAGUUUUUGAUCUAGUUUUUUUAUUCUCUCAUUUGAUGCUCAGGGUUCCAGGAUUGUCGUCUAAACAGAUAGUCAUCUAUUUCACUUGGUUUCUUGGUUCUUUGCUGAAGAGGGAUGACAUGGUGUGUCUAACUAAGCUGCCACGUUGGCUGGAACACCCUCAAAUUCUAUUUUACCUGCAGCUUGCAAGCAAACAUUUUGGGGCAUCUUCCUAGAAAUAGCCAAAAUAAAUUAGAAUAAAUAAAAUAUCAGAUAAAAAAAUAUUUUUAAAGAAACUACUGGCUUCACCACAAAAAAAAAAAAAAACCUUUUUAAAAACAUUUAUCUUGUGGUAAAUCUAAUAAAAUUUAAAGUUAUUGAAAUCUAUGCAUAACUAAACCUACAUGCUGAAGCAGGUCCCACACACAACAUAGAUUUUGCAAUGUUCAAUGUCCAACUUUUAUGUCUUUUUUCAUAUCUUCUCUUGAAAGAUUUGAGGACAGAAUUGCAUUGUCAGCUGAGCACAGCAGAAAUAGCACAAGUUUGGGGAGUUGCACAAACCAGAGUUCUAAUUCUUGCUUACCUUUUAAUAGAUGGGGUGCUUUAGACAAGUUACCUAAUCUCUCUGAGCCUCUGUUUCCUUGCCUACUUAUAACCUUGUAAGAAAGACGAUUCAUUUAAAGCAUUUAUCAAAUUUAAAAUAAAUAGCUAUUAUGAUUUCUAUGGAAAAUAUAGAAGCAUGUCACUGGCUGUAGUUAACCUUGUAUCUGUAGGAUUUGUGUAGUUAUCCAGGUCCUUUAAGAAACACAAUUACUAUGCUAGUGGUAAAUUGUUAUUAUUGUUAGUUGCUGUCAAGCUGACUCUGAGAAACGACUCAUAGUGAUUGCAUGUACAACAGAGAAAAUCAUUGCCUAGUCCUGUGGCAUCUUCAUGAUCAUUGGUAUCCUUGAAUCCAUUUUUGCAGCCACUGUGUAUUUUAAGUGAAGGGGGCUCAUCUUCCAGUACUAUACUGAACAAUAUUCUGUUGUGAUACAUAAUAUUUUCAUUGGCUAAUUUUCAGAAAUAGAUUGACAGGCCUUUCUUCCUAGUCUGUCUUUGGAAGCUGAAAUCUGUCCACCAUGGGUGACCCCAACAGUAUUUGAAAUGCUGGUGGCAUAGCUUUCACCAUCAUAGCAACAGGCAAGACACCACAGUAUUACAAACUGACAGAUGGGUGGUCAAGUAGAAAAUUAAAAAAAAAAAAAUUAAAAGUAGUAAAUUAAAUUAGAUACCUUUAAAAGUUGCUUUAAUAUUGUUGAAACAAAUGCAUUUUACCUAGAAUUCCACUCUCUUGGUAGCACCUCUGCUUUAAUAUGAAGUGGAGUAUGUCUUUAUUUUUUAAUCUCUGAGAUGCUUUGUCCAGAUAGUAAAACUUCAGGAUUACUUUGGGUCUGGAUGCAUUGCAGAGCUGUGUAAGUUUGGAGCCAACCCUAAGGGUUACUAUUUGCUAUGAGGGUGAGGCCUGGUGACUGUCUUUUUGUGGUCCAAACAGAUUUUUUUUCAAGAGUCCCUUAGGGAAUUUGCUUGGGACAUGCUUUACUUUUUACUUUUUCUUUUUGGCUUAGAGUGGGACACUGAGAUCUCAAAAAAUUCUGUAUAAUAAUCCAAAUCAUAGAACAUUUCUAGGUGUUGAAUAUAAGCCAAAAGCAUACAAAUAUGAAGUAACAACAUGUAAUAAAACUAUAGCCUGCACAGAUUUUUAACAUUGUUUUCUGGUAGUGGCAGAUCUAAGUUAGAAGCAUUUUAUUAAGCCAUCUUUUACAAGCAGUGCUUUUAUUUUGAUUUAAUAUAGCUUCAUGAAAAAGUAUAGGGAGAAAAGAAGAGAUGAAAUUAAAUAUUUAGUUUAUUUUCAAUUGAAAGGGAGAUAAUUAUUUUCUUUUAAUUUUCAUUUCUUUAUCUUCUAAAGUUCCACGUAAACGUUGGUGAUUAUAUAUUAUAGCAAUUUGAGAAUCUUAAAAGUAGGCUAUGGAAUACAUGUAAGGCUCUUGUCUGCACCUACUACACAGUAAAUCAUUUUCAGAAUAGAUCUGGGUUCUUGACAUUUUUAUUAGUACAAGAUGAAGUAUAUGUAUCCAUAUCUGAAAAUACAAUCGAGCCUUUUUCUUUUAUCCCCUCAGGGUGUGGUGUUUCAAUAUCUUCCAAAGAAAUUAUAAGAAUGUGGAGUAAAGUAAGUUGUUGGCCAGUAAAUGUCCUAUAGAUGCCAAUAAUUUCAUUUUACUAGCUUAAGUGUUUUGAAAUGGAGAAAAUUGAAGUGAAAUCUCAUUUUCUACUCAUUGUGCCUUUGGGAGAUAAUUAUCACUUUUUAAGCAAUUUUGCAUUGCACUCUUAAAAAAAGAAAGGAUCUGAUGAGAAAUCAUUCAUUCAUUUAGAGGAAGGGCAUGCACCCUGGCUGUUUUUCUGGCCAUGCUGGUAGAUUUCUGCUGAUCCAUGCACACCCCUUUGCCCUGUUCACAUUAGGAAACAAUGACAUUUAUUUGUGAUGUGACCGAGGGCUGGGGGUGCAUUCUGCAACCACAGAACAAAAUGAAGCCAUUGACCUCAAUAUGGACUGAACCCUUUGACCUUGACCGCAUUAGUACUUUGACUAAUGUGGAAAAUUACCAGAAGCUUGCAUUUAGAAUUCUCCUGAAUCACAUGAUGUGACAGAAAGUACCAUUUAAACAUCAUUGUGAUUAAAAUGACCCUGUUUGGGAAAUAGAAUAUAGAAAAACAGUGUGUUAUUAAUUCAAUAUCAGUGUCUUCUACCAAUAAAUUAUUUAAUUAGCUAAAAACAACAAUAAUAAAACCUAAACCAAACCCUUUGCCGCUGAGUCGAUUCCAACUCAUAGCAACCAUGUAGGACAAAGUAGAGCUGCCUCAUAGGGUUCCUAAGGAGCGGCUCGUGGGUUCAAACUGCCAACUUUUUGGUUAACAACCGUAGCUCUUAACCACUACACUAACAUUUAUUGAGUGUUUCUUGUAUGCCAGUUGGCAUCUUCUAAGUCUUUGACAUUCAUUAUCUCACUUAACUUUCAUAAUGUCUCAUGGAAUACAUAUUAUUAUUAUCACUGCUUUACAAAGAAGAAUCGUAGGUUAAGACAAUAUUUUAAGGGCUAAAGAGUGGACAAGCCAGCAUGAGAUCAUUGAGGUCCGAUUCUGACAUCCACAGACCUAACCAAGUAGAUGGAUUGCCCCUUUCCUACACAUUUAUAAUUUCUAGGAGUUCUUGGGUGGUGCAAAAGGUUAAGUGAGGACUACUAAUUGAAAGGUUGGCAGUUGAAACCCACCCAGAUGUGCCUCAGAAGUAAGGUCUGGAGAUCUGCUUCUGAAAGGUCACAACCUUGAAAGCCCUAUGCAUCACAGUUCUGCUCUGCACACAUGGAGUCGUCGUCAUGAGUUAAAAUUGACUUGAGAGCAACUAACAAUAAUAGUAACAGCAAAUCCAAAUUCCAGGCAGGGCUUUUCACAAAGUAGGUGUUGAUUAACUGUUUGGUCAAGUGAAUAUUAUCAGAAAUGGAUUUGGGUGGUUUCAGCUUCAGGGUAGGAUUAAAGAUCUAGUGAAGUUCACUUUAUCAGUACCAGUUGCUUCAGAUAGAUUCCAACUUGUGAACUGCGCUCUAUAGCGCUCUAUAGGGAUUUCAUGGCUGUGACCUUUUGGACGCAGAUCACCAGAUCUUUUUUCCUGAGGUGCCUCUGGGUGUGUUUGAACUACCAAUCUUUUGGUUAGUAGCAAAUGGCUGAGCCCUUAACCAUUUGCACCAGCCAGAAACUCACUAUGCUCCAGGAUAAUUCCACACUCAGGGCUGCACUAGCCUCAGGAGUUAUGAACAAAACCGAAAACCCUUUGCCAUCAGGUCAAUUCCUACCCUUAGUGACCCUAUUAAAAAAAAAAAAAAUUUUUUUUUUUAGUGACCCUAUAGCUACCCCCAAAAGGGAGGUGCUGUUACUGCUCUAAUUUUGCAGGUGAGGAAUUUGAGACUCGGGAAUGUCUUCUCUAAAACCACUCUGCUGUUAAGCGGCUAAGCCAGAAUCCCAGGUCGGGUAUGUCCAAUCCCAGGGCGCUAAAUAGUAAACAUCAACCUAUCCCACUUUUAUCUCCUUUUGUCUACAGGGAAGAAACCUUCCCUUAAUUCAUUUUUUGACUCGUUACACCUGGAGUAGUGUUUGAAUAAAAUCUGAGAUUGAUGAAAAUAAUCUACUUCAUUCUGCUUACUUUUAAUACAGUAUUUGAAAUAUUAAUAUUUAUUUAUUACUUAGAACUAAGAGGAAGAAAAAGGUCUACAAGGAAAUCAUAAACAGCAUAGUGACAUUAUUUAUAAAAAAAAUAGUAGUUGUUUAUGGCAUAUUUUAGUAGCAUAAAAGUAUCCUAUUGCUCUAUGGUAGAAAGUGGUGAUUUGAGUGUCCUUGAGCUAUUUGGUUACUUUAACUUCUGUCAUAUUAAGCCUCUAUUUUAUGCCGAAAAAGGCAAUUUUUUUUUUUUUAGCAUACUCAACAGGAGUCUUAUGAAAAUUACUGAAUAAAAUAGGGACAGGAAAGCAAUCAGAAAACAAUUUUAAUUGAAUUGAAGAAACAUGCAAUGGGAAAAAAUAAAUUAAAGACUAUCCUAAAGAUCAUUCUAUUAGACAUUUAGACAGCCUAUCUUUAAAACUUUCAUGGUUUUAACCAAUUCAGUCAUAUUUUUAAGCCCAUUAUUAUAAACAACAACAACAAUAUAAAAACAGAUGAAAAUUCCAGGCCGGUACAGAGAUAUAAAUAUGGAUGAGAACAUUUCAUAUAUCCGAAAUUUGCUUUUUUGAUAAAGUCCCCUUUCUAGAACCUGUCUGAAAACCACAGAGUUUGUAAAUACAGUCUUUAUGGUUCAAAAUGAGAUUUUAGAGUCUGUGUAAACCAGGCCACAUUUUCUCCUCACAUGUCAAACACAAUUGUUUAUUUGCUUUCCCUAACUCACUACUUGUUAGAAGCAGAAAAUUAAAAAGAAGGCCUGGGCUAGUACUAAAAGCAAAUACAUAGUGUCUUAGUCAUCUAGUGCUGCUAUAACAGAAAUACCACAAGUGGAUGGCUUUACCAAAGAGAAGUUUAUUCUCUCACAGUCCAGUAGGCUAGAGGUCCGAAUUCAGGGUGCCGGCUCCAGGGGAAGGUUUUCUCUCUCUGUUGGCUUUGGAGGAAGAUCCUUGUCAUCAGUUUUCCAUCAGUCUGGGAACAUCUCAGGGCAGGGACCUCAGGUCCAAAGGACACGCUCUGCUCCCAGGGCUGUUUUCUUGGUAGCAAUAUGUCCCCACCUCCUACUAGCUUCCCUUUCGUUUUGUCUCUUGAGAGAUAAAAGGUGGUGCAGGCCACAUCCCAGGGAAACUGUCUUUACAUUGGAUGGGGUUGUGACCUGGUGAGGGUGUUGCAAUUCCACCCUAAUCCUCUUUAACAUAAAAUUAUAAUCCCAAAAUGGAGGACAACCACAGAGUACUGGGAAUCAUGGCCUAACCAAGUUAAUACAUGCAUUUUUGGGGGAACGUAAUUCAAUCCAUGACACAUAGUUAUCAGCAAACAGGACUUCAACAUAAGAAGAGGUUGAAAAAGAAAAUUAAAAACAUUUUUUAUUGUCAAACAUUAGGGAGAUGGCAGUAGAGUGCAGCUGUGAGUGCAAAAUCUCCAUCUAUCACUUGCUUCUUAGCUAUAUAAUUCUAGGAAAAAUAUUUAAGUUCUUAGAGUGUCCAUUUUAAUAUCUGUAAGAUGAAAAUAAUAUAAUUUGUGGGGUGAUUUUAGGGAUUAAGUGAAUUAACAUGUGUAAAAUGCCUGGUCAUUUUGUUUCAUUCUCAGGCCCCAAAGCACAUCUCUGUGUAUACUUUGAUAGCUUUCAUCACUCAGUGGAUCCUAAGGAGUCCCUGGGUGGCACAAAUGGCUAAGUGCUGGACUACUAACGGAAAGGUUGGUGGUUCAGACCCUCCCAGAGGUGCCUCGGAAGACAAGCCUGGUGAUCUGUUUCUGAAAGGUCACAGCCUUGAAAACCCUAUGGAGCAAUUCUCUUCUGCACAUACGGGGUUGCCAUGAGUCAGAAUCAACUUAACGGCAGCUAAUGACAGCAACAACAUCAACAGGUACUUGUAGUUUCUUUACAUUUUUGGUGUUGACUUUCCAGAGAACUCUUACUGGUAUCGGAGCUGAGAAGCUUUAAUUUAAAAGUUGUUUGGUACGUGUACAAUCAGGUCAUAAUGAAUUGGAUAAUAUAGGAUGGUUCAUCCAUAUUUUGGUAAAGCCUAAUGAACUGCCCUUGCUCACAGCAGUGAACACUUCUCUAGGGCUAGGAUUCACAAGUUUAAAGUCUGCCUUGUGGUGAGUAAUCAUCAGCAAAUUUUAUAUUUCUAACUUUUGUUGUACCCAGUUUCAAGCUGACCCAUGGUUUUCAGACAGGUUUUGAUGAGACUACAUUCAAGCCCUAGCCCUGCUAUUGCUGCCUUUUUCUUUUUAUUUGUUGGAUUUCAUGUCAUUUUAACCAAGGUAUAUUUACUUAAAAGGUGGUUCCUGCGUAUAGCUGCUUUCGUUCUUUAUGUUUUGUCUAACUGCUUUUAUUUUAGGGUUAGAGAUGCCUCUGUGCUCUCUCUAUUUGAAAAUAAUAGAGACAUUAAAUACUAAAUGUUGGAUCUGUUCACUAAGUCAUGUAGAGCUGCAGUACUGGGGUGAAGAGAGUUCACUGGUGAAGAAUGAGUAGACGGAUUAGUGAUGAGGCCAUGAGUUCAGAAGAGGUGAUGACUGCAUGAAGGAGCCCUCGUGGCAUAGUGGUUAAGCACUCAGUGGUUCGAACCCACCAGCUGCGUUGCAAGAGAAAGAUGUGGCAGUCUGCUUCUGUAAAGAUUACUGCCUUGGAAGCCCUAUGGGGCAGUUCUACUCUGUCCUGUGGGAUCACUAUGAGUCAUAAUUGACUCAAUGGCAAUGGGUUUGAUGACUGUACAUGAGGCUUGUGUUUGCAGCAUCAAGGCUAAACAAUAAUGGGAACAAAGUAGCAGUGUGCCCAGAUCACAUCUCCUGAUAAUGGUAGUAUUCUGGUGAUAAUGUCUGUGCUUUAAUGGAAGAGAUUAAUAUUCAUCACUACAAUCCCCAGCCCAGAAGGAGAAGAGGUAGAAGGGCCUUUAUUGGUGUCACUCAGUAUUAUUCUGAGAAUGGCUCUUGAUCAAUAAAAAAUAUGCUGAUUAUACACAUUUUCUUUAGGAAAAAAAAUCGGAUUUGUUCUUGUUGUUGUUGUUAGAUGCCAUCAAGGAGGUUCCAACCCAUAGUUACCCUGUAUACAACAGGACAAAACACUGCCCAAUCCUGCAUCAUCCUCACAAUGGUUGCUAUGUUUGAGCCCGUUGUUGCAGCCACUGUAUCAAUCCAUCUCGCUGAGGGUCUUCCUCUUUUUUGCUGGCCCUCUCCUUUACCAAGCAUAAUGUUAAAUCAUAUUUAACUCACCAGGUUUAUUCAUACACUUGUUGAAGAAAUAUAGAAAGAAAGAAUGUUUCUUCUUAUAUAACCACAGAGACGAAAUCAGAGCCAAAAAAGAACUCAGUAUUUACAAGGUCAAUGUACUAGAUGAUAUGUUGCCAAAAAAGUUCUCAACAUCAGUGUGCAAGAAAAAAUCUUCAACAUUUCAUUGAGCAAAAACAUACAAACUGCUCUCUUGGGAUCUGAUUGUCCUUGAAUAGAGAAAAAAUAUUCCAGGGUAGAAUGAACUGUACUCAGCUUCCUGUCAGCACAAGUUCUUGAGAUACAGGUGUAUAAUACAGUAUCAUUGCCAGUGGGCAGACCUUUCUUGAGGCCCACUACCUGGAGUACCUUAUGUAGGACAAGCCUAUGUAUCUGUGCUGGAAAUGUCAUGGAGUAGGUAGGUAGGAUAUUUUGACUCACUCUACUAAAAAUAUCAUGAUGAUAGAGCUUGCAAGAGAAGAUACUGAGUAGUGAGAACAAAGACAAUGUUCCUAUUCCUCAUGCUUUCUAAAAAGUCAAUACUAGUUCACAUUUCCAAAAAGUUUUCAUAAUCGGAAUGAAAGAAGAAAGCUUCACCAUUACAUUAAGCGAAAAUAUAUCCACCAUUCUUUAGAGAUCUGAUCAUCCUUGAUCAGGGGGAAAAAUUUCAGGGUAGAAUUUUUUAUUUAUCCUGGGAGGCUCUGGUCUCCAACAGUCCUACAGUAAAUUGCAUGUGAGGCUGGGCAGAUACAGGAUGGAAUCAAUAAUUGACCACAGGUUCCACCUUUAGGCAUUUGAAGUUCAUUACCCUGUUGUGUCCUAUAAAGAGGGCAGGAGCACCAGCCUUUCAGACUUCCCUGCAAUUGCUUAUCUGUAUGAGUUUAUAGAAAAUCACAUUCUUAAUACAGUAGUUAGCACUUUUGAACUGGCCUCCUUCUAUUUCUGAUGAGGCUACCACAGGAGAAGAAGCUGGAAGUUUUAAUUCAAAUUCAGGCUAUGUUAUCUCUCCAGCUCCCUUUUUGUUCAUGAUGCUCAAGGACAAUGGGGCUUUGGGAGUGGAAUUAUCUUGGGUGUAGUGAGCUUUGGGAACCCCUUGGUGGUGCACAUGGUUAAUGCAGCUCAGCUGCUAACCAAAUGGUUGGCGGUUCAAGUCCACCCAGAGGUGCCUCAAAAGAAAGGUCUAGUGAUCCAUUUCUGAAAAAUCAGCCAUUGAAAUCCCUAUGGAUACAGUUCUACUCUGAUACACAUAGGGUCCCCAUGAGUCGAAAUCAAUUCAACGGCAAUUGGUCAUGAACUUCACCAGAUCCUUAACUCUUCUUUGAAGCUGAUAUAACCUAAAUUCAUCUUUGGGGUUAUUCAUCCAGCCAACAUUUAAUUAACACUUACUUCAUGCCAAACCUUGCCUAGAUUGUGGGAUACAAAAAAUAAAACAACCAAACCCAUUGCCAUGAAGUGGAUUCUGACUCAUAGUGAUCCUACAGAGUGUAGGAUAGAUACUAUAAAAAGAAAAAGAGAUAAGGACAUGACAGUUUGUUGAGGGGGGCAGCCAUAUAAGGAAACAAGUAUAAGCCAAAACCAAAAAACCAAACCCGUUUCCACUGAGUUGAUUCCGACUCAUAGCGACCCUAUAGGACAGAGUAGAACUGCUCCAUAUAGUUUCCAAGGAGCAGCUGGUGGAUUUGAACAGCUCAUCUUUUGCUUAGCAGCCAAGAUUUUAACCACUGUGCCACCAGGGCUCCUGUACUGUAUUUUAUCUACCUCAGUUCAGAAUUCCAAGGAAAUCCAGAGGAAGAGGGGCACUGUGCAAGUCUUCACUAAAGAGGUGAUGGAAUGGCUAGAUUUUGAAGAUGAGCAGGAGUUUGUCAACCAUAAAAGGAAAAGGCUAUGCUGAUAUUCACGAAAGCGCAAAUUAUAUCAAAGGACCUGGACUGCUCAGAGAAGAGAAGGGAAUUUGUCAGGAUGGACACUGUACAUGGGGAGCAAGAUCUGUGGGUUGGGAAUAGGGGUAGUUGAUGAGGAACAGGCACAGGAAAGGAUGAUUUGGACUGUAUUGUGAACGCUCUGAUGUGCUGAGGAUUUGGGGCUUUUAUUCUUCUAGAAGUGAGGGAGCCACUGAAGUUUUCAUGAUUCAGGGAAAUGUUAUGAUCAAAUCUAUCCUUCAGAGAGAACCCUCUGGCAUUUACAUGGGGGGCAGACCAGAGGUGGAGAGGAGCCAGGGCAAAGAAAAUGAAUUGGAGGUGAUUGCAGUAUUCCCGUCAGAGCUGUUUAGAAUAUUGAAUUGUCAGGCCAUGUAAGUGACUAGGAAACCCUGGUGGCGUAGUGGUUAAGUGCUACAGCUGCUAACCAAAGGGUUGGCAGUUCAAAUCCACAAGGCGCUCCUCGGAAACUCUAUGGGGCAGUUCUACUCCAUCCUCCAGGGUCGCUAUGAGUCAGAAUCGACUCGAUGGCACUGGGUUUGGUUUUUGUUUAGUGAGUGACUAAGGAGGAGCCCUGGUGGCACAGUGGUUAAGAGCUUGGCUGCUAACCAAAUGGUUGCAGUUCAAAUCUGUCAGCUGCUCCUUGGAAACCCUGUGGGACAGGCCUACUCUGUCCUGUAAGGUCCCUAUGAGUUGGAAUCAUCUCGAUGGGUACAGGUUUGGUUUGGUUCUUGUUUGAUGACUAAGAAAGAGAAGACCCCAUUCAUACAUUCAUUCAACAAAUAAUUUGCAGAGCCCCUAUUCCCUGCCAGGAACUGUUCUAGGUGUUGAGGAUACUGAGUUAAAAAAGACAAAGUCCUUACUCUCACAGAGUUUGCAUUGUAGUGAGGUAGACAAAAAGAAAUGUCUACUAACAUACGUUAGGUCAUGAUGUGAUACUAAGUACUACAAAGAAAAAUAAGGUAUGUGGCAGAAGUGACAUUAUGAUUAUGUUCCAUUUAAAUAAAUGACCAGAUCUACUACUACAUUUUGUUUUGUGAUCCAGCAGCCAGAUUUUAGAAAAUUCUGCACAGUAGAGGGUUGCCAAAUAAAAUAUAGGACACUCAGUUAAAUGUGAGUUUCAAAUAAACAGUGAAUAUAUAUGCUAGAAAGGAUGAUUCUAUUCCACUUAAAUUAAAAAAAAUCAUUGUUUACCUGAAAUUAAAAUUUCACUGGGCAUCUUAUGUUUUGAUUUGCUAAAGCUGGCAACCCUAGUGUAAAGCUAUGUCCAAAGCACUCAGCUGCUAACCAAAAGGUCAGUGGUUCAAAUCUACGAGCUGUUUCAUGGGAGAAAGUCGUAGCACUCGGCUUCUGUAAAGAUUUAUAGCCUUGCAAAUUCUAUGGGGCAGUUCUACUCUGUCUUAUAGGGUUCCUGUGAGUUAGAAUAGACUCGAUGGCAACAGGUUUGGUUUUGGGUUUUGGUGUAGGCCUAGGAUUGCUCUGUCUGAUGCUGAGGGUCAUCUCCAAGUUCUGGGCUAUGUUCGUAGGAGUUCUGCCCCCUCCAUAGAGUUAUGUGAAAUGCAAUAUCAUGAAGCAGGAGAAGUUGACCUUCAGGGCCUCACAAUUCCCCUGCCUACAUGAGUUCUCUUCUGGUAGGAGCCAUGCAGAAAUCUCACAUAUGUACCUUCUCCUUCUGGUCAUAUUUGAUCUCACAAAAAAUUAUCCCGUAAAGUCAUUCCUACCAAGAUUAUAAGAAAGUGAUAAGGUUAAUGUGUUACUUCUCUCAUGGAUGUUUAUACUGGAAGUGGAUACCUUCAAAAUAAUUUCUUGUUGUGGAAUUUUAGAAUUUCUCUGAGCAAUUAUCAGAGGUGGUUUUAAGGGUAAGAAUUCUUUUUGUUCUCUUGAAAUUAAGUAUUCAUUGUUUAACUACUAUAUCCUCUUAUUUGUGUGUACAUAAAUCGGAGGUUCAGGUCCCAGAAUUCUGGGGGAUUGUUAGAAGAAAGAAGUUACUGUAAGUUGUUUAAGGCUCUUUAACCCAUGUGUAGAAGGAAAAAAACAAUACAUUUCAGGAGCACCUUCCCUUUGUUAAUGCUCCUUUUGCUAAGUGUUCUUACAUGUCAUCCUUAGAAAAAUUCUAUGAGGUCGGUCAUAGCAUGCCCAGGUUUUAGAUGAAGAAAUCGAAGUUCUGAGCGGUUAAGUGACUUGCCCCAAGCCAGAGAGCUAGUAAAUGGCAGAGCUGUGAUUCAAACUCAGGGUUUUUUGGCUUUGAGGCCAGUGAUGUUUCUGCCAUAUUAUGGUGGCCACUCACCGGCAGCUCCCUCCUUGGGAAGCCCCAGGGUCGCCCUGAAGCUGUUCAGGGUAUAGAUCUAAGGUAUGGUUGUUGGGUAGUAAAUGUCCCGUGGUUAACUGACUCUUGAUUGCAAAGUUUUGAGAAAAAGCAAUAAUGCCAAGUGACUUCAGCUUCCAAGACAGGAAAAUGAUUCAGAAUCAUAUGCUAUCUGGCAACCAAAUUUGGUUGGCUGCGAAUUUUUCUUUUCAAGAAGUUGGGCUCUUUAUCCAUGAGUAAAGCCACUGUGAUGGUAAAUGGACCAUGACACCACUGUUGAGAUCUACUUCUAAAAUGAGGGCUUUGUCAUUGGGCAGUUAAAGGGGAAGUGAAGAAUGACUAUGAUGUAAGGGAACUUCGUCUUUGGUGCCCUCUAACUGACCCUUUAAGGCAGCUUCUUUCUCCAUCCUGUUUUUAGCCCUGAAGGACCUGUUUAACAAGAAUAUUUAGAAAGAAUUUGAGAAAUUGCUCUUCUGUUGUGUUAGCUUAUGCAUGCUCGAAAUGAAAGCUCUCCCUGAUAUAUAAGAAUUUUUAUAGAUGGUAUAUAAAAAAGGAAGAAUUGAAUUUCUAAGGUAGAAUUCUAAUACUAGAGUAGGUCAGUGGGGGAAUUCUUUUUGGGUACAAAACUAAUAGAAGCAGGUUUCUUAGGCUGUACCAGAGAAAAGUAAGUAUAUCAGAAGAGUAAGUGUAAUGUAAUUAUAUACUUUGUAAUGCUAUAUAUUAAGUAUAUUAUCCAAUUAGUAAGUUGAAGGCAGGGCCAUGACUUAAAGGUUGUAGAAAAAUGGUAAAAUCAAAAACAAAUUUUAAGGUUGGGACUUAAAUGCUCCCCUCAAGUCUGGCCUGCUGGCUUCCGCUACUCCCUCGGGUUCAAUAAUUUGCUAGAAUGACUCACAGAACUAAGAAAAUCUCUAUACUUACAGUUACAGUUUUAUUAUAGAAAAAAGAUGCAAUGAAGAGACUCAUGGGGGAGGUCUGGGAAGGUUCUCAAUGGGGACCUUUCAUGCCUCAAAAAGGAAUGUGCUAUUCUCCCACGUGCAUCGAUGUCUGUCACCAACCAGAAAGCCCAUGGAGCUUCAACAUCCAGAGCUUUUAUGAGCCUCAUUACAUAGGCAUGAUUUAUUGAAUCUCUCCUUCCACCAUACUCUGUGUUUGAACUUCAAGCUCCAGGCCCAUCCCCUUGAGGCAGCUGAGAGCACUGGCUUGGCCCACCCCCACCUAAGAAUCAUCUCAUUGGUGUAAUGUGUUAGGCAGGUGUGGCCUAGAGCCUUCAUCAAAGCACUUUAAUAAGUGGGGAAAUUCCCAGGUUUUAGAGGUUAUCUCUUAGGAACCUGGGAAGGAAACCCCUCUGGGUAAAGUUAAUCGUAAACGCAACAGAUGCUAUUUGCAAAAUACCUAAUAUAUGGAUACAUAGGACUUCAGUGCUAUUCUUACACUUCUCUUUUCCUUUCUUGUUUUAAUGGGUAAUUUAUGAAUAAUCUUGCCUAAAUAUAAUAAGUAGAUUAGUUAUGGUUCCUAGAUCAAAGCCAUGCCUUCUAGCAGUGAAAUAAAAAUAAAAAGUCUUGGAAGAUGAGAACAAUGUUCACGCAGUUAUAAAGAUAAAGCUGUGCUUCCAGCGGGAGAGCAAUUUUUACCCUAGUUUGGUCACUCUCUGCUUUCACACUGAGCUAAGAAACAGGCAUAUCAAUCUGGCAUACUUUGGAGGAAAAAAUUCCGUGGGCCUUAAGUCAAUAGCCAAUAGACCAAGCUGUUUAUAGUCCCAAAUUUGAGCUCCCUACAUAAAUUUCAAUUCCUAAGGUCAGGAUCAGUGAGGGCUGAUAUAUAUAGCAAACAAACCUCACUAAGCAUUCUCUUAUUGGCAGCAGAGAUGUAUGACAUAUUAAUAGCAAUGGUGGUAGCCUAUUUCCUGAAUGGAAGAAAUCUGUUUGGAAGUGGAAACUUGGCCAAGGCUCUAACACUUAAAAUCCUGCAACGGCAAAUAAAAAAGAUGGGGUGGGGAGAAGGGGCUGUGCUUGAUAUACUGUAUUAACAGUACUUGGCAGAUUAUUACAAUUAAUGAAACGUGUGCCAAGAUAGUAGAAAUUACUGGGUUUGAGUUUCAUGAAGUUUCUAGCUUGUUAAAUCUGUUUUUAGAUCAGCCAAGAGGCGAUUGCAUGAUAGGAAUCAAAGGCCCAAUCAUGUAGAGCCUCUAGGCUAUUUUGAGGACCUUACUUUUUACUUAAGGAAUCCUGGUGGUGCGAUGGUUAAACACUAGGCUGCUAACCAAAAGCUCAGUGUUUUGAACCCACCAGCUGCUCCACGCAAGAAACUACCUGGUGAUCUUCUCCUGUAAAGAUCAUAGCCUGCAAAACCCUAUGGGGCAGUUCUACUCUGUCAUAUAGGAUAACUAUGAGCUGGAAUUGGCUCAAUGGCACACAACAACAUUUUAUUUGGGAUGAGAUGGAAAGCUUUUGAAUGGUUUUGAGCAGAGGUGUGACAUGGUCAGGCUUAUAUUUUAGCAGGAUCAUUUGGGGCACUGUGUGGAGGAUAACUAUAGGGAACAAGAACUGAAGCAGGAAAUAUAGCUGGGAGGCUCUCGUAACAAUCAGGUUAGCCAUGGUGGGUUCUCAGACCAGGAGGGUGAUGGCAUUUGAUGUAGUAACAGACCCUGAAUUUGUUUUGAAGAUAGAACCAAUAGGAUUUCUAGUCAUACUUAAUGAGAGGGUAAAAGAGGAAUCAAGAAUAACCACAAGGUUCUGCCUUGAGUAACUCAAUGUAGUACAUUGCCAUUGUCUAAGAUGAGGAAGUCUGUGGAGGGGCAGGGUUUAGAGGGGAGGGUUCGGGGAGUAAGGACUUUGGUUUUAGUCAUUUUAAGUUUGAGAUGCUUACUAAACAAUUAGGCAGUUGUAGCUGGGGAUCAAGGGAUGGAGAGAUAAGUUUGAGAAUCAGUGAAAUAAGUCAUGAAACUGGAUGAGAUCACCCAAAGAAUGAAACAAGGUCCAGGACUGAGCCUUUGGGUCCUCCAGAAUUAGAUUAAGAGGGCCCCCCCAGGAGACUGGAAACAAGUAGCCAGUGGGAAGAAGAACCAAGAGGAGUUUCACCCUAGAAAUCAAGUGAAUAAAGUGGUCAAAAAGGAGGGAGUGAUCAAUUGCGUACGGUAGAAACAGGCUUGCCCUUCACGUUUGCAGGACCCAAAACAAUGGUACAACUAGAAGUCCACACACCUUAUAAUUUAAAUCAAGAAUAAAAACAAAACAAAACAAAAAAACCAAACCAGUUGCCAUUGCGUCCAGUCUGACGAAUAGUGACUUCAUCUGUUACAGAGUAGAACUGGACUCCAUAGGGUUUUCUUGGCUGUGACUUUUUGGAAGCAGAUCACCAGGCCUUUCUUCCAAGGUGCCUCUGAUUGAGUUCAAACCACCAACCUGUUGGCUAGUAGUCAAGCACUUAACUGUUUGCUCCACCUAGGUACUCCACAUAAAUCAAGAUAGCAAAUAGCAAACAUCUUGUCACCUUGAGGCAGUAAGCAUGAGAAAAAGGACAAGAGAAUAGCUGAACCAUCGGCUCUGGUGUAGUCUAGCCACCCCCAAAAUUAGGCAAGAGAAGAGAAAGAGCAGUCCCCAUCUUCCCAUCAUCGCACAGAGAAAGAUGCUGGGCCUGGACAACCUCUUGAACAUGCAGUGUAGUUCUAUUCCCCUUCUUAUAGUCAAGCAUUGAGAAUAGCCUUGUCAGUGGAAUAACACACAGGCUGCCUGGCUUUGGGGGUACCAGGGCCUUACAGGAGUUGUCUGGGAACAUGAGCUGCCUUUAGGUCCAUGAGAUAUUGCCUUUCUCUCUACUGGGAGGAGAAGCCAUGAGUCCUGUUGGGUGUGUCAAAGUUGAAGCACACCUCCUCCUUCUGAGAGAAGAGGGAUCCCCAGUUCCAGAUACUACGUUGUCUAGUGUGAGCUCCCAGAGUCACUUCUGAACAAUUUUGAAGUUGUACUAUAGGUUUUCUCUUACUUGCAGCUGAAUGAACCUUCAUUGAUUCACUGGUAUUCAAUAAAAAAACAAUAUUCAUUAAAUGACUGAAUAAUAAAACAGUAUCAUGGCAUAAUAUAUAUAUAGCCAUUUAAAAUAGUAAAUCUGAAUUAUAAAUAAUUAUGUAUUUAUUACGAUUUUAUAAAUGCAUGUAUGUGUGUUUAUAUGUAAAUAUAUACGUGUAUGUAUAGUUGGAACAUGUCUAGAAUAUAUGUGCAUAUAUGCAUAGAGAAAUCUCAGAGAGUUUACAAAAUAUUUUAGAGUAGUGAUUAUCUUUGGGUUAUAUGAUUUUUCUGAUGACUUUUAUUUUCUUAUCACCUUUUUUGGUUUGAUUUUUUACAAGGUCAUACAUAAUUUUUAUGAUCAGAAAAAAAUAGAAGUUUUAAGAAGAAAACAAAUGGCAUGUAGUUGUUUAUCGUUAUACACGAGUUCACCUACUAUAAAGAUCAAAUGAAUCUAUUUUUCUCUAUAUUUUUUGAAAAAAUAAUUCUAAAAUAUAUAUUUAUAACUAUGUUAUGUUCCUUGACCAAAUUGAUAUUGAUUUUAACACAGUGUUUCUUUUUUUGUUGUCAUCAUUCCAUAGAUAUAUUUUUCCUAAUUGUCCUUGUGCCCCUGCCAUGAAAUUUUGAUACUGUAAAUAUACUGAAUAUCUGUUUAUAUACUGUGGCUUUUUGCAGGCCACAGACUAUUGUAAUAGCUAAGAUAUUUUUGUCCCCCAACAACCAAUUUUUACCUCCCUAGGGGCAAUACUGACCCCAUUCAGAAUGUAUGACAUAAGGUAUAAGCAUUUCAGUUCCUUGUAGUUUAAAAAUGUACUCAAUAAUCGUGAGUGUAAUUGCUUUUUAUUCUCCAUACCUCUCUUCCUCCCUUUUCACUUAGCAAAUAUUUGAAUGUUUAUUGAACAACUGAACACUAAAAUAUUAGUUCAGAGUCUUAAUCUGAAAGGUAGAGUAGGGUCACGUCUUCAUAUCACCAUCUGUUCAUCCCAAAUUCCAACUUCUGUAGCCUGUAGAGGUCACCCUUUCAUGUAAUUCCCCAAAUUCUUAUUCCAAGGCCCUCUUCCAAGUUCUCAUCCAAGGUUCUCCCUGUCAGCGCUCAUUAAAUGCUGCAGGAAGUACUUACUUGUUUCACAAAUCCAUUGAGAUUUGUGCUUGCCAGGGCCAUUUCUGAUGUCUGCUCUGGAUACCUAUACUCUCUUCAUCCUGCUGCCUCCUAAUAGUGUCUCCAUGCUGCUGCCCCCUCACCCUCACCCCAUGUUAUUGUUGUUGUUAGGUCGCGUGGAGUCAAUUUUGACUAAUAUUGACCUUAAGUACAAGAGAAUGAAAUACUGCCCGGUUCUGCGCCAUCUUCACAAUCAUUGCUGUGUUGCAGCCCAUUUUGCAGCCACUGUGUCAAUCCAUCUCUUUGAGGGUCUUCCUCUUUUUUGCUGACCCUAUACCUUAUCCAACCUUAAUUCCCAAUGCUCACUUAACACUAGACUGUGAUCUUAAUAUAUGGCUUUUAUUAAGGCUUGGGGGCAAGCCAGGGAUUCAAAUGAAGAGAAGAACUUAACAUUGUCUCAGCAAUCACAGCUCCUAGGGUUCUCCAAAGAGUGCCCCCUACUGACUGUGACCCCUUAGGCUCUCAUGUUGCCAGGGAGCAGUUUCUCUUCCCCAAACCCAGGAAUCCCCUUUAGAUUUCCUCUUCUUUCCCUUUCUCCCUCUGGGCCACUCCAGAAACCCAAAGUUUUCUUUCACUAACCUAAUCCAAAGGAAGGAAAGCAUCAACACAAACAGCCAAAAACAAACAAACCAGACCAAACAAACAAUUCAAAGUUAUCCCCUCUACUAAUGACUGUCUUUUAUAUCGAUGCACAGAGGGGUUAAGGAUUUAGUCUGAAACAUCUACAUUUAGAGACAUCAUUUUUACUAAACUUUCCAGGGAACAAAAUGUUCAUUUUUAUUCUCUCUGUGUUUUGUUCAUUAAACAAAUGUUUAAUGAGAGUCUACUGUGUGCCAGGUACUACCAAGCAUUUGGGAUACCGUGAUAAACAAUGCAGAUACAUUCUCUGCCCACAAGGAACUUACAGUCUUACGAAUAAAAGACUCACCACACUAAUCCCUUCCAGACAAAUUAGACAGUCUGUCCCAAGAAGCUAGUCCAGUUUCUGUACUAAAAAUGCAGAAAAUACCAUCUUCUUAAUAGACGGUUUUCCAGCUCAUGUUCAGGUCCAGACAUCCUCUCUAGCAAUAGAAAAUGGUGCACCGCUAUAUUACCAGUGAAGAAUAUUUGUGGGGGUAAAUCUCUGAAUCGUGUCAGUAAUAACAGUCUAGUGAAGUGGUUUUCCAACCAAAGGUCCAAAGACAGUCUCCGAUCAAAACUACUUGGGAGUUUAAAAUCUCUCUUCUUUCUCUUUCAUACACACACAUGUGCACACACACACACGUCACGUGCAUACACACACGCGCACACACACACCCUGGAGAUUUAGAAAAGAGAGGAUUCAGAUAAAGUGACCAUUCUUUCCCAAGUACAAAAACUUGCUUGUCUUCCCCAGACCAUGCAUACACUAGGCAUGGUAGAGGUAAUUUUCCUUCUUUCACCAAAAAAAAAAAAAAAAAAAAGACCCGGGAAA
Molecule: long non-coding RNA, 31542 nt
Organism: Loxodonta africana (African savanna elephant)
Lineage: Eukaryota; Metazoa; Chordata; Mammalia; Proboscidea; Elephantidae
Exons: 2
Source: RefSeq, a predicted model, not a curated record